This is a long non-coding RNA of Limulus polyphemus (Atlantic horseshoe crab), 1450 nucleotides long. RefSeq lists it as uncharacterized. NCBI's taxonomy places the organism in Eukaryota, Metazoa, Arthropoda, Merostomata, Xiphosura, Limulidae. The record is from RefSeq and is a predicted model, not a curated record. The transcript has 2 exons.
UUUUUUCCAGGUGUAUAUAUAUAUAUAUAUUGGUAUCAUUAUAAAAAUUUCUCCAACUUGUAUGAUUUACAUAGUCAUUAUUUUAUAGGUUUUUUCUUGUUUUGAUGAUUCAUUUAAUAAUAGUAGUAAUAACUGGUAACUUGCAUAUAAUUGCAGUUUUCAGUAAGAUAAACUAGUAAAUGGAAAGAGAAAUACUACUUAGCAAGGUUUUCCAGUAACAUAGUUUCAUUUAAUUUAAUAACUUCUUGACUUUAACAAACCUAAAAAUGUGUUUUUUUUUAUGUGUAGAAAUUCUGUGUUUGAAUUUAUAUUUUUUUUAUUUUUAUUCUCAGAUGGAUAGAUGGUUUUUCAAUAUUUGAAGUUGGUGGGGAUGGCCUAGUGCAUAAACAUAUAUGUGAAAAGAUGAUGCCAGAUGAUAAUCGAGAAGUGAACACUAAAGGAUCCAAUGUUGCUGUGAAGUUAGCGAUGAUGGUAGGACUCUCACCUACCCAUAAGAAUUUUGCUGGUUUUCUUCCACCAACAGAUAUAUCUAGUGGUACUAUUUAACAUUGGAAUAUAGUGCUCUUUAAAAACUUUGUGACAUUAAAUGAGAAGUUUUAAAAAUGAGUAUCUUGUAGUUAGUGGUGAAAAUUUAUUGCCUUGUACAGAGAUUGAUGAAGUAGCAAAGCUUCAUAAAGUAAAGAUUCUCUCUCACUAUAUAUAGUAUAGGAAGAUCGCUUUAAUAACAUUACCCUUCUGAUCAGUUCAACUGAGUAUUUCAAUAUUUGCAUUCUUACAAGAAAAGUCGAUGCUGAGCCUUAGUGAUAAGUGCUUGCAUUAGAAAGCUUUGUGUUUAAAAUAUUUACUUAUUCAUAUUCAAAGAAAAUAUUUGAAGCUGACAAGAAGUGAAUUACUUAUCUUUAAAGCACAAUCUAAACUUAGCAGUAUAGCUAGCAGCGAUUGAUAGUGUUAAUACAUUUAAAAACAAGCUCUGAUAUGAUUGAAAUUGGGAUAUUUUCACUGUUCAUCUGUACCAUAGAGAUAUCCACAAUAGAGUUUAAAGUAUCAAUACAACUUUUAGUCUCAUAAUAGGGCGAGACCAAUGUUUUAACACUAUAAUCAAUAUAUAAUUAACAAAGCUGAUUACAUGUGUGAUACUGAGUAACUCAUCCAGGAUUAACUACUUAUAUCAAAAAUACUGAACUGGUAUCUAUGAUUUAAGAGCAAGUUGUAGGAUGUAUUGAUUGAUUUUUAAUUUUACUGGUCAAAUGUAUAGUUGAUGUAUUGUAAACUUGACUAUUAAAGUAGAUGUUAUUUUACUGCAAUGAACAGGUAAGGUUGCUCCAACAAUCCAAAAUUUACAAUUUAAUUUCACCCUACCAAUGAAAAUGUAAAGGCUCUCUACUAUUUUGGCCAUAUUAAAAUGUAUAAAGCAUAUAGGACUAAAUUAAAAGUUGGUUAAUCAUAGAAA